UCAUAUACAUGGUACUAUAUUGUAAUGUUAUGAGCCAGGGGAAAAAAGAACUACCCUACCCAGCAUGCAACAGGAGUGACGAGCAUGCGCGGUAGCCCGGUAUAGGUUGUGUCGCCAUGACGGCAUCUUGUAUGUUGUGAUAUGCACGCUCUGAAAGCAAACGUUAAGAACUCAGCCAACACUCCUGGUCUGCAUUAUUCAUAAAUGGACAGACAACACACAUACUCCGCUGCUUCACAAAGCACAAUAUGUUAAAUGUUUACUUUUACAGUUUUCUAAUUCUUCCUUUCAGAUUGACAGCAGGACAAAUCGCUGGAAGUGGGUAUGUCUCAAGCUUCUUCCACUUGGUCCACUCCAAAGCGGGCUGCAAAGGUGAAGAAGUGGAAGCAGUUGAAUGACACAUGUUGCAUUUUGUAACUGGCAACAAAGUACCAGGUAAAAAAGAUUGUGAAGCCUCCCUCCACAAAGAACUAGUAGCUCUACAGGACAGAGAUUGGCUUGCCAUCAAGUACUACAUCCAUAACAGAAUUAUAUUUAAAAAAGGAAAAAAAAAUGUUUUCCCACAUCUUCUGUGGUAGUUUGAGUAUGUUACCAGCAAUUAAAAAAGCAAAAUAAA
Long non-coding RNA from Nerophis ophidion (straightnose pipefish), 616 nucleotides. RefSeq lists it as uncharacterized. Lineage: Eukaryota; Metazoa; Chordata; Actinopteri; Syngnathiformes; Syngnathidae. The transcript has 2 exons. The record is from RefSeq and is a predicted model, not a curated record.